RNAcentral lists this long non-coding RNA (941 nucleotides) under Medicago truncatula (barrel medic). RNAcentral's name for it is "lncRNA gene25421". Lineage: Eukaryota; Viridiplantae; Streptophyta; Magnoliopsida; Fabales; Fabaceae. The record is from RNAcentral.
UUCUUCUUCCCUCCUCUUUCUUCCAACCAUCAAUGACAUUUCCUCAACCUUUUACUGCUACCACUCCACUAGUGCCUAAUGAACCAGUUCUGAAAAAGAAAUAUCUUUGCCAAGCAAGUUAGAUAAUCAACCAUUUCAAGCAUAAGAAAUCUUCAUUAUCCCUUGCUUUUUUUGGUCCUAUGCUUGCUCCGGAGCUUGUGCCAAAUCUUUUUGAGGGAACUUUCCCAAAUCUUGAAAACCAAGAAACCAUUGCUUUCUCUUCCUUCUUAUUCCUUCCGGUCCUAAACAACUUUUGUUGAUUCAACUGUCUCUUGUAUUUAGGACUCCAGAAAGAAUUAUACCGUUGUUUUCAAGAAAAAUAUGCAUUCUAUCAGAUCCCCUUUUGACAAGAAAAAUCGAAAAGCCUUUAAUUAUAACUUUUUUAUUCUUUUGGAAUAGCACUACUAGUAAUUUUCAUUUUCAAUAUGGCAUGAUUGGUUGUUAGAGGUCUUAGAUAUGACGCGAAACUAUCAACCCUUCUGUCGAAAAUCCAGUUAGGCACACCAAUGACAAAUCUAUUAGUAGUUUUUCUCCGUCGUUAUGGCUUUCCACAAAACUAACUCAGAAGGUUCUAACGAGGAACAUGUUGCCUUUAUUUUCUUUGGCUCUCUGCUCAUAUUUUCUGCAACAAAUCUGUUUUUGCAUUUCUUCUAACUUUCUGAAUGAAAAUUUAAGAUUGGCUCUAGGACAUUACCUAGCUGACCUCUCUUUCGCAACAUGUGUGCUGCAUUUUCUAAUUUAAGAGCCCUAACUUAAUAGCGGAGGACUAAUUUUACUUAUGUUUCGAAGAAAUACAUUAAUAGUGAUGACAAAUCUGAUUUCGCUCCCUUUUUAAUCUAUAUGUCGAAAGAAUAAUUUGGUCCUAUAUGGUUUACCAGAAAAUUUGGGAAGCUUUCAUUUAU